Long non-coding RNA from Zea mays, 1800 nucleotides. RefSeq lists it as uncharacterized. The record is from RefSeq and is a predicted model, not a curated record. NCBI's taxonomy places the organism in Eukaryota, Viridiplantae, Streptophyta, Magnoliopsida, Poales, Poaceae. The transcript has 3 exons.
ACUGUUCAGGUAGCACAGAGAGUCCGUCUGGUACUUGGCCAACUUCUGAAGCAGUUGAGCAAGAAAUUAUGGUUCCAUCACUCCGUGUGGUUGAGCUGAUGGCUUUCAACUGAGUUUGAGAAACAUCUGACGCCCUAUCUGCAACAACCCUGAUUAUUGACAGCAAGCCUAGCAAGGGUCAGCGCAAUUCUUGCAGAAAUUUGUUCGGGCGAAAUAUUAGUUGUUACUGAUUCUAAGCUUGGAAAUGUUAUAAAAGAAAAGCUGGUUAGUGGUGUUUGUCAAUUUAUUGCUUUCUUUACAUGGAUAAGCCAUCCUUAAAUAUUCAACGCGCUAUUGCAUAAAAUUGGCUAUCUCUACAAUAGUGUUGUGAUGGAGCUGAUGCGAGGGCUGAGAAAUCAGCUCAUUGAGCUUAUAAGUGGGUUGGGUACAUAAGACCUGGGUCCAAUGAGCUUGGGAUUGUCGCACAACUUGUUUUUGGCUUAGUGGGUUCAGUCCCGAGAAGGUGAGUCUUGUAUUGGUGCUACCGGCCAUCUUAUUUAUCAUGUUGUUAUGUGCUCCAUUUUUUGCUUUUAUUGUAUCAACAUUUGUCCUUGGCAUGAAAUCAUCUGGAAACAUCUCUCAACUAAAAACAAUGUCAGGGAUCAAUCUUUUUACCGAAGUCUCUAUUCUUGUCUGAACAUUAUGCAAGUGGUUUUCUUUGAAAUCAUAAGCAUGGAGUGCAUCUAUUUAAAGAUAAAGCUUGGACAACCAAUCAUUUAUUAUCCGAGAAUUUAAUUUGGUUUUAUUAAUUAAUUUAAACCUUUCUAUAGGAAGAGAGUGGCUCUUCACUCCCAUCGGACUGACAAAAAGCUAACGUUCCGGAGAAAGAAAUGUAGUUUGGUUAUGUGGUUUUGCAGACCUGUAUCUAUUUGUGUAAUACAUUUGCCUGUAUAUGUGCAGCUUAUGUCCAUAAUUCUUCAAGUCUGCAUAUGACUGCAUCAUUCUUCAGCCUUCUAGACUCCUUCCACUUCUGCCCCUCGGAUACAAGGUUAGUUUGAGACCGUGAGCAAGCAUACCCAUCCAUCUUUUUCUCUUUCUUCAACCAUAUAGGUACAACAAUAAUUCAUCUGUCUGCUACUAAGACAUAUCUGCUCUUUUCAUUGUUCUGAGUUGGGUAAUCAUUUCUGCUCAGAUUAACAAGUAUUCAGUACACCAAUUUUUUAAUCUUUAUAAGAUAAGAAGCAAAGUCAACAAACCAUGGAGCAUGUAGUAUCGUAGCUAUUUGUGCCAGAGAUAUUUUAGCUACAGUUUGAUAAUAAUAUUCAAUAGACAUAUUUUCAUUGACAUAAUAUUCAGUAGGCCUAUUUUAGCUACAGUUUGAUCACCAUCUAAGCCGUAGCUAUUUGUGCCAGAGAUGACCACUCCUUUAUUUUUUGUUCCUGUGUGCCAAAACAGUGCUUGCAUGUUUUCCACACAGAAAUUCACUAAAUACAUAAAUCUGGACGAGUGCAUUUGAUAUCUAUGUGAUUACAUGGUGAAAAUAGGCCUUUUGAUGGCCUGCUCGGAUUCUCCUAGGUAAAAAUGGUAAAGUUACUUUUACUGAGCAUGCACAUGCGAGUUGAGUAUCCUGUAUUUUUUGGAAUUUGAGUUUAUUCAUGAGUUCCUUUAUGGUGUGAUGAUAUCUGCAUGCAAACUAGAAUUCUGCUCCAAACUUGCAUAUGAAAUGAUGAAAUGCAAUGAACAAUACUUUUUGAGCUGUUGUAAAGUUUAAUCUCUACUACACCAUAUGUUGGUAACGAGGGCGUCCACCGGCAUCACCAC